This 478-nucleotide ribosomal RNA is filed under the name uncultured bacterium. Its description in RNAcentral is "bacterial SSU rRNA". It matches the Rfam family "Bacterial small subunit ribosomal RNA", at positions 501 to 978 of the family's 1533-position model. The record is from RNAcentral.
CUACGUGCCAGCAGCCGCGGUAAUACGGAGGGUGCGAGCGUUAAUCGGAAUAACUGGGCGUAAAGGGCACGCAGGCGGUGACUUAAGUGAGGUGUGAAAGCCCCGGGCUUAACCUGGGAAUUGCAUUUCAUACUGGGUCGCUAGAGUACUUUAGGGAGGGGUAGAAUUCCACGUGUAGCGGUGAAAUGCGUAGAGAUGUGGAGGAAUACCGAUGGCGAAGGCAGCCUCCUGGGAUAACACUGACGUUCAUGCUCGAAAGCGUGGGUAGCAAACAGGAUUAGAUACCCUGGUAGUCCACGCCCUAAACGAUGUCAAUUAGCUGUUGGGCAACUUGAUUGCUUAGUAGCGUAGCUAACGCGUGAAAUUGACCGCCUGGGGAGUACGGUCGCAAGAUUAAAACUCAAAGGAAUUGACGGGGACCCGCACAAGCGGUGGAUGAUGUGGAUUAAUUCGAUGCAACGCGAAGAACCUUACCUGG